GAUGAACGCUAGCUACAGGCUUAACACAUGCAAGUCGAGGGGCAGCAUUUCAGUUUGCUUGCAAACUGGAGAUGGCGACCGGCGCACGGGUGAGUAACACGUAUCCAACCUGCCGAUAACUCGGGGAUAGCCUUUCGAAAGAAAGAUUAAUACCCGAUGGUAUAAUCAGACCGCAUGGUCUUGUUAUUAAAGAAUUUCGGUUAUCGAUGGGGAUGCGUUCCAUUAGGCAGUUGGUGAGGUAACGGCUCACCAAACCUUCGAUGGAUAGGGGUUCUGAGAGGAAGGUCCCCCACAUUGGAACUGAGACACAGUCCAAACUCCUACGGGAGGCAGCAGUGAGGAAUAUUGGUCAAUGGGCGCAGGCCUGAACCAGCCAAGUAGCGUGAAGGAUGACUGCCCUAUGGGUUGUAAACUUCUUUUAUAUGGGAAUAAAGUUUUCCACGUGUGGAAUUUUGUAUGUACCAUAUGAAUAAGGAUCGGCUAACUCCGUGCCAGCAGCCGCGGUAAUACGGAGGAUCCGAGCGUUAUCCGGAUUUAUUGGGUUUAAAGGGAGCGUAGGUGGACAGUUAAGUCAGUUGUGAAAGUUUGCGGCUCAACCGUAAAAUUGCAGUUGAUACUGGCUGUCUUGAGUACAGUAGAGGUGGGCGGAAUUCGUGGUGUAGCGGUGAAAUGCUUAGAAAUCACGAAGAACUCCGAUUGCGAAGGCAGCUCACUGGACUGCAACUGACACUGAUGCUCGAAAGUGUGGGUAUCAAACAGGAUUAGAUACCCUGGUAGUCCACACAGUAAACGAUGAAUACUCGCUGUUUGCGAUAUACAGUAAGCGGCCAAGCGAAAGCAUUAAGUAUUCCACCUGGGGAGUACGCCGGCAACGGUGAAACUCAAAGGAAUUGACGGGGGCCCGCACAAGCGGAGGAACAUGUGGUUUAAUUCGAUGAUACGCGAGGAACCUUACCCGGGCUUAAAUUGCAUUUGAAUAUAUUGGAAACAGUAUAGCCGUAAGGCAAAUGUGAAGGUGCUGCAUGGUUGUCGUCAGCUCGUGCCGUGAGGUGUCGGCUUAAGUGCCAUAACGAGCGCAACCCUUAUCUUUAGUUACUAACAGGUCAUGCUGAGGACUCUAGAGAGACUGCCGUCGUAAGAUGUGAGGAAGGUGGGGAUGACGUCAAAUCAGCACGGCCCUUACGUCCGGGGCUACACACGUGUUACAAUGGGGGGUACAGAAGGCAGCUACCUGGUGACAGGAUGCUAAUCCCAAAAGCCUCUCUCAGUUCGGAUCGAAGUCUGCAACCCGACUUCGUGAAGCUGGAUUCGCUAGUAAUCGCGCAUCAGCCAUGGCGCGGUGAAUACGUUCCCGGGCCU
Molecule: ribosomal RNA, 1359 nt
Filed under: uncultured bacterium
Lineage: Bacteria
Description: bacterial SSU rRNA
Rfam family: Bacterial small subunit ribosomal RNA
Source: RNAcentral